UAGGUAAGCCUAACUUGUACUGAAAUACAACGAUAAUAAAUAAAAUUUAACAGUAUCGAAGUAGAAAUCCCUACAAAAUUUAUGAUUCCCAAAACCUGGUAGUACAAUUCAUAAGCUCUACAGAGUUCGCUACAACUUCUAUAUACAACUGUUUGGAAGUAAAUACAACAAUGUGAAUAAAAAAUAGCAAGGUGACUCCGAAGCCAACGAACGUAGCAGCAGGGUUACCUUGAGUCUCCUCGGCAAGAAUACACAUAGCUACUAAUGAUCAAUAUCUAGAUCUGUACAAAUAUUUUUACAAAAAUGUAGUAUGAGCACACUACAGCGUUUCCUAGUAAAUAUCAAGACUAACCUCGGUGGAGUAGUGACGAGGAAUAGUCAAGAUUCCUACUGGUCUAAUAAACUAAACAAGUAUAAGUAUAUGAACAAUAGAACAUGAUAUCUAUAUAAAGACUACGCGAUAUGGCUAACAAUAUAGUAACUGCAAUAAGGAAGGAAACAACAAGUAACAUUAGAACACCAUAAUAAGGACACAGGAGAGUGAACGGAAAUACAACCUAAAUCUGAAAUCACAAAUAUAGUAAAGACAAGUAAUAACUCAACAACUACGAUAGUUUUCAUAUCAGGUCAUAGCCAACAAACUUCAAUCAAUUAGUCAAAACCUUCAAGUAUAAAUCUUUCACCCAUAAGUUUUUGAAUAUAAAUCUUUAGAAUAUAAUCCUUCCCAAUAAAGAUAUUUUGAAACAUACUUUUUUCAAAUAAAUAUCUUUCAAACAUAGUUCGUUCAAGAUAAAUACUUUUCGAGUAUAAAUUCUUCAAAUAAAUAUCCUUCGAAUAUAAGUCACCAUGUGAUACCUCAUUUCAUAAUCAUACAAUAUGGGUCUCAAUACGUGAACCCUAACCCUGGGCAUCCUAUGCCAUCAUCACAUCUCAUAACCGCACUGUAGACUCAUGUGCCAAAUACAGCCAUUCUUACAUGGAAGGCAAGUAAACAAGGGCGUGUGUGUCUAUACUCAGCAAUAUCAAGAAAAGCUCUUAUCUGAUAAGGGUGCUUAGCUCGUACCAGCUAGUAAGUAUAAGGAAAAGAAUGGACAACACGUAGAAUGUUUAAAAGAAUGUAAGCACAGAAGAUUAGUAGCUUAGAACACAGAUAUAACAACAGGGUAUCUCCCAGGAUACCGUCUCGUAGUCCCAAACGUAAUUGUGCACGGGAUCUCAUGGAAUAUCAUUUUGCAGUCCCAAAGUAAAUAUGCAGUGCUUGAGGAUCUCCCGGAAUAUCGUUUUAUAGUCCCAAAGUAAAUAUGCAGUAUAGGAGGAUUUUCCGAAAUACCGUUCUAUAUUCCCAUAGUAAAUAUGUAAGGGGAUCUCCCAGAAUACCAUUCCAUAAUCCCAAAGUAAAUAUUGUCACACCCAUUUUUUUCAAAACCUUCACUAACUCUCUUAAAUUAAUAAAAAGAUUAGUAAAGCUCAAAAGGGUUUUUAAUCAAAAAAUUGUGUUCAAAAGGAUUAACUUAGAGUCUCCACCUGACAUUGGUUUCGGUGUGCCAGGUCACCAUUUUUUUUUUUAAAAUAGUUUUUCUUUUUACAAUACUUAGGACUCCAAAACUAAGUCUGCACCAGAGAUUCGGGUAAGGAGGUUCAUUUGACCGUAGAGAAGGUGUUAGGUACUCCCCAAGUCCCGUACCUAGUACGGUUGCAUAAAUAAUCAAGUUGGAUUUUAGAAUAUUCGAAUUGAGGUAGAAAACAUGGAAAAAGCAAAAUAAACACACACGAGGCUCGAGGUUGUCCCCACCUAAUCAAAAGAAAAUGAAAAUAAAAAUUAAUGUACUACGAGUUCUACUAUCGAUCUCCAAGUACAAAUACUUCGGGGCAUACCCCGGAAUAAAAUAUAUACAAUUCCUUCGUGGCAUUCCUCGGAUAAAUAUAAUAAGGAACGACCUCUCGCCUCAAAAUCCAAACAAAAUCCUAAGGCUUGCCUACCCAAGUGUGGUCGGUCUAAAACAUACUUCUAGCGAGCACUAAUAACAUAAAUAAAGGAAAGCUAAGCAAAACGCUUCAUGACAUGCUCAUUUUUCAACAAUUAGUUUCAUUUACUAGACCAAACCCAAUCCAAUUAAUUGCAAAUACUAUCAUGACCUAUUUUAUGCUUUUGAUGAGUUUUCGCCUAAAACUAAUUAACCGAAGAUCACGUGCAUUCACCCUUCUAAGGAAACAAACUAAUUCAUUAAUGUCCCCAAAUAAUGUAUGAAAUGAAAAUCAAACAUAAAUUUUCAAACUUUGGAAAUAGCAGAACACUCAAAUGGCAUCAAAGAGCACAAAAUAUCAUUCAAAUAAAAGACAAGACAAAGCAAGGGGACAAGAAUGGAACCUUCUAUAGCAACACUUCUAUAUUUGAUUAAUGAGAAGACCAAGAAUAACUUGACUAUAUAUUGAUCUUUACAGCAGUGAUUGAACCAAAACCUUGACCAUAAAUCCUCGUCGGCAACCUCGACGAAAUCAAAUUAGCCCGUAGCUCAUUCACGAUCUAAUUCACUUGGAUAGGGAAGGAAACGAUAGCGUGCUGCUAAUUCCUCUCAUUCGCUGCCUCUGUUUUGCCCCUAUUCUUGAUUGUGCAUAUGUGUGUGGCUAUUUCUGGGCGACAGAGUUUGGUGGAGUAAGGAGCAGCGGCGCUGGUGUGAGCUGUUGUUUGAAUAGCGGCUAUAGAGAGUGACGAGGAUGGGAUUAGGUGGUUGUUUGGUGGGACGAUGGCUGGAGGAAUGGCGGGUUCAGGUGGUUGGUUCGAUGAGAUAAGAGAGGUCUUCGGCAGCUGCUUGUGUCUAGGGUUCUGCUGGUGGCAUGACAGUGAGAAAAUGAGAGGAAAUUCAGCUUGGGCGGCGGUUUAGGGUGGUUGUUUAUGGGUGGGAGCUGACGGGUUUCAAGGGUAUGUUCAGAUGAGGAAGAAGGCAGUCAUCGGUCUCCUUAGGGUUCAGCUCGAUGGGUG
This 2980-nucleotide long non-coding RNA is filed under the name Nicotiana tabacum (common tobacco). Its description in RNAcentral is "long non-coding RNA (NTAB_LNC019042)". Lineage: Eukaryota; Viridiplantae; Streptophyta; Magnoliopsida; Solanales; Solanaceae. The record is from RNAcentral.